UAGCCUAACGGCUGAACCAGCAACUUGGAAGAAUGUAUAGUAUUAACUAAUUACAUUUUAUAUGUAAAAUCGGAUAUAACGAAUAAAAUUCUAAAUAAAUUAUGAUGAUGACAUUUUUUAUUUAUAUGUCUUGACCAAAUUACGUGCCAGCAGUCGCGGUAAUACGUAAAAGACUAGUGUUAUUCAUAUUUAAUGGGUUUAAAGGGUACUUAGACUGUAGAUUAAGCCUUAAAUGGAACUAAUUUACUAGAGUUGCUUAUGAAGAGGCUAUAAAGUACUAAUGGUGUAAAGAUAAAAUUUUAUAAUACCAUUUCUCGAUAGAGAAACAAUGGCACAGAUAACGGCGAAGGCAUCCUCUUACUAGAUAACUGACGUUAAAGGACGAAAGCUUUAAAUCACAAAUAGGAUUAGACACCCUAGUAGUUGAAGCAGUAAAUUAUGAGCGCCAUAGGUUAUAUUUUUAUCCUAUAAACGAAAGUGUAAGCGUUUCACCUCAAGAGUAAUUUGGCAACAUUGGAACUGAAAUCAUUAGACCGUUUCUGAAACCAGUAGUGGAGUAUGUUGUUUAAUUCGAUAAUCCGCGAAAAACCUUACCACAAUUUGAAUAUUUAUACAUUAUGUAUAUUUACAAGCGUUGCACGGCUGUCUUCAGUUAAUGUCGUGAGACUUUGGUUAGAUCCAUUUAAUUAACGUAAACCCUUGCUCUAUUUUUUUAUAGAGUAGUUCUCCAUAAUAUUGGAUUAGACAAUAGGGACUAAGACAAGUCAUCAUGGCC
This 775-nucleotide ribosomal RNA is filed under the name Badimia pallidula. RNAcentral describes it as "SSU rRNA". It matches the Rfam family "Bacterial small subunit ribosomal RNA", at positions 372 to 1200 of the family's 1533-position model. Lineage: Eukaryota; Fungi; Ascomycota; Lecanoromycetes; Lecanorales; Ectolechiaceae. The record is from RNAcentral.